This 409-nucleotide ribosomal RNA is filed under the name Salmonella enterica subsp. enterica serovar Infantis. RNAcentral describes it as "bacterial SSU rRNA". It matches the Rfam family "Bacterial small subunit ribosomal RNA", at positions 1106 to 1515 of the family's 1533-position model. Lineage: Bacteria; Pseudomonadati; Pseudomonadota; Gammaproteobacteria; Enterobacterales; Enterobacteriaceae. The record is from RNAcentral. RNAcentral also lists the same sequence under 12 other names.
UAUCCUUUGUUGCCAGCGGUCCGGCCGGGAACUCAAAGGAGACUGCCAGUGAUAAACUGGAGGAAGGUGGGGAUGACGUCAAGUCAUCAUGGCCCUUACGACCAGGGCUACACACGUGCUACAAUGGCGCAUACAAAGAGAAGCGACCUCGCGAGAGCAAGCGGACCUCAUAAAGUGCGUCGUAGUCCGGAUUGGAGUCUGCAACUCGACUCCAUGAAGUCGGAAUCGCUAGUAAUCGUGGAUCAGAAUGCCACGGUGAAUACGUUCCCGGGCCUUGUACACACCGCCCGUCACACCAUGGGAGUGGGUUGCAAAAGAAGUAGGUAGCUUAACCUUCGGGAGGGCGCUUACCACUUUGUGAUUCAUGACUGGGGUGAAGUCGUAACAAGGUAACCGUAGGGGAACCUGC